Xiphophorus couchianus (Monterrey platyfish) is the source of this 523-nucleotide long non-coding RNA. RefSeq lists it as uncharacterized. NCBI's taxonomy places the organism in Eukaryota, Metazoa, Chordata, Actinopteri, Cyprinodontiformes, Poeciliidae. The record is from RefSeq and is a predicted model, not a curated record. The transcript has 3 exons.
ACAGAUUGUUUUUUUUAGAACCACAUUCAACUUGGAACAUUGUCCAGCUGCACUCCAUCGCAGGCCUGGAUUGGAUCUGCUGAGCUCCAGGUUUCAACCCAAGACCUGGGACUGAUGGAUCUGCUGCCUGUUUUACACUGGAUUAAGAUAAUGUAGCAACAUAAAUGGUACGCUGCCACUUUAAGAUCAAUUUCAGCUGCUGCAUAUAAGCAGGUCUCUACCUGCCACAAGACGACUUGCGUCAUGACGUCAACUCAUUCUGCUUCCUUUGUUUGCUGAGCUGUGCUGGCCUCCCUUGCUGUGCCUCCAACUCCUGGACCAAUUUGUUCGGUUGUUUGCUGCCGGGAAGGUAAGCGCUAGCAUGGCUAGGUAACAUCCAUCUCAUGUAAACGAAGCCUUUACGUAGCAUUUUGUUACAGCUGCGCUCCAUAGGCGAACUUGUGGAUCUGUUUAUCUGGCCGUGUGGUAAUUUACAGGGACUGAGGCUUCUGUGGUGGCGGUGGUGAUCCCAGGUGGCGGUGUC